UACGUAGGGUGCAAGCGUUGUCCGGAAUUAUUGGGCGUAAAGAGCUCGUAGGCGGUCUGUCGCGUCUGCUGUGAAAACUCGGGGCUCAACUCCGAGCUUGCAGUCGAUACGGGCAGGCUAGAGUUCGGCAGGGGAGACUGGAAUUCCUGGUGUAGCGGUGGAAUGCGCAGAUAUCAGGAGGAACACCGGUGGCGAAGGCGGGUCUCUGGGCCGUUACUGACGCUGAGGAGCGAAAGCGUGGGGAGCGAACAGG
RNAcentral lists this ribosomal RNA (253 nucleotides) under uncultured bacterium. RNAcentral describes it as "partial 16S ribosomal RNA". It matches the Rfam family "Bacterial small subunit ribosomal RNA", at positions 524 to 776 of the family's 1533-position model. The record is from RNAcentral.